GGCGGACCCAGGGCCACGUCGGCUGACUCGAACUCCGGGGUCGUCGUGGGGUCUCCGGGCUUCAUUCCGGACCCAAAGCAACCAUACCCACCAGGGUUCCAGUCAAGUGGCACUGAAGGAGAGCCAGUGGAGGGAGAGACCAUCUCUCAGGGGCACUGCCUUCUUGCUGCACCAUUGCCCUCAGCCCCUCCUCACCACCUCUGUUCAAAAAUAACGCUGCCCAGCUGAAGGCUCUGAUCACAGAAGUGCAGACUCUCGGCACUGGUGGAGGUACCCUUUGCAUCCUGGGAGGCUUGAAAUGGGGUUGGGAUUCAGACAUUUUUACACCCCACUUCUGAUCCUUCCAAGGACCACCGACUCACGUUGGGGGCGAUGGCGCCAGUCAGUGCACACUCUGCGAGACAAACCGGUAGUUGACACAUGGGUGGGGGGCCUUAGAGGACCUUAUGAUUUCACUGUCAUGGCAAGUAGGAUACCUACAGUGGGGGAGCUGAGGGUUUGGGAGAGGGCAGCUGUGGCCCCCAUUAAAGAUGGUAUUUGGGGAGGAGUGCCUUCAGGUGAGUUAGGAGCUGUACCAGGAGUACUAAAGCAAGGCCACCUGGUUCUUUUUCUCCGGCUAGUCCAAGGGCCAGGAAAGCCUGAGUAGGGAGGGCUGGGCUUCCCACCCCGGCUCCUCCACUUCCCAGGCGUGGGAGGAAGGGUUUGGUCUAUGAGCUGGAAUACUGGAGAAGCCAACAGUGCGGUGUGCAGGAAGGCUCAGAUUCUUGAACACCCUUUAAGAGUCAUGCUGAAAGUGUGAUGCAGGGCACCACCUGGCAUCAUGAGGAUGGGCAUCUGGCCAGCAGGCAGCAGUGCCCAGGUUCUGCUCCAGGUGCCCUCACCCCCCGCCCCACCCAGGUCAGCCAAAGCCUCUCCAAGGUGCCAGAGAGGUGGCGGCAGCUCAGGUGGUGCAUGCGGGCCAGCGGCAGCCUCCACCGUUGAUGGGUGUUGGCCAGGGAGAGGCAGGUAUGUGAGAGAUCCUGAAGUGGACACCAGGAGUAUAUUCAAGGUCAUAGCCUCCAGUGUGGCCUCGACAUAUGCGCCAUGGAGAAGUGGCAGGGACACAAAACACAUCUGCAGGCCUUUCCCCUUCCUAGUUUUGGUGCUGCCUUGAGGAGCAGGGCACCCAUGGGGGCCACGUACCUGCUGUGCUCCUGCCUGCAGCCUUACUCCCCAGGUUUGAUUUGAAGCUACCCACAGGAGGGUCUCUUCAUAUCUGCUCCUUCCCGCUCCCCACCAACCAGUCCACCUUGGAGCGCCCCAGUCCUUGUGAAAUCACAGCCGCUGUCACAGAGACCAGCUCCAGACUGCCUUGUGUCAUUGAACCGCUAAGUGCUGGGUAAAGAUAAAGCAGGAAGCAGCAGGGAUCGGAGCAGCUGGGCCCUGGGCAAGCAAACGUGGUCGAGUGGGUUGGUAAUCAAUGCCAGGUGAUUUAGCCUGCUGGGUACCAGGAAAAGCCUGGAGCCAAACGACUGACUUAAUCAGUUGCCCUGGCAACAACAUUGCCCUUGGCUCUACCCAGACAAGAUUGAUUUGAGCCUGUUGCCCUGGUAACUCGUGUUGCUCCCCCGGGACAGGAAGUAACAGAACUUCAGCUCUGUUGGGUGAGAACACCUCCCCCAACCUGAGGGGGUCCACCUGUGCAUCCCGCUGCCAGGCGCAGGGCAGCAGUGGGAUGGGCUCUCCACAUUCUAAGUGCCUAUGGAAGAUUCCUGUUACCAAAGGGGAGCCCCCAGGGAGGAGGCUGGGGCACUAGGGCCAGGCUCUUCCCGUGUGCCCCCCUCUCCUCCGUCCAGGUUCUCACUCCUCUGGAGGGGGAUGCAGGGACAGCGCCACCCCCUUCCUCCAUUGGAGAGCUUGACAAAGGUCCUGGGCACUGGCUCCUGCUUCCUCACCUGCAGAGGCAGCCGCCGGUGACCUGCUGAAGGCUGGGGUCAAGCCAGAGGACUGUUGCCUGCAGAGCACUGCCACAGCAUUGGCCAGGGGGACAUAAGCACUCGGUCAGAAGCCUGGUGGCAGUCUGGAGUCCCCAAUUUCCUCUUGGCCUUAGAUCCCCUCCCUGGGUCUCUACACGCAAGACUCACCUCCAAAGGAGAGCCCUGUGCUGC
This is a long non-coding RNA of Balaenoptera musculus (blue whale), 2147 nucleotides long. RefSeq lists it as uncharacterized. The transcript is spliced from 3 exons. The record is from RefSeq and is a predicted model, not a curated record. NCBI's taxonomy places the organism in Eukaryota, Metazoa, Chordata, Mammalia, Artiodactyla, Balaenopteridae.